RNAcentral lists this ribosomal RNA (497 nucleotides) under uncultured bacterium. RNAcentral describes it as "partial 16S ribosomal RNA". It matches the Rfam family "Bacterial small subunit ribosomal RNA", at positions 28 to 507 of the family's 1533-position model. The record is from RNAcentral.
GAUGAACGCUGGCGGCGUGCCUAAUACAUGCAAGUCGAGCGAACGGACGAGAAGCUUGCUUCUCUGAUGUUAGCGGCGGACGGGUGAGUAACACGUGGAUAACCUACCUAUAAGACUGGGAUAACUUCGGGAAACCGUAGCUAAUACCGGAUAAUAUUUUGAACCGCAUGGUUCAAAAGUGAAAGACGGUCUUGCUGUCACUUAUAGAUGGAUCCGCGUUGCAUUAGCUAGUUGGUAAGGUAACGGCUUACCAAGGCAACGAUGCAUAGCCGACCUGAGAGGGUGAUCGGCCACACUGGAACUGAGACACGGUCCAGACUCCUACGGGAGGCAGCAGUAGGGAAUCUUCCGCAAUGGGCGAAAGCCUGACGGAGCAACGCCGCGUGGGUGAUGAAGGUCUUCGGAUCGUAAAACUCUGUUAUUAGGGAAGAACAUAUGUGUAAGUAACUGUGCACAUCUUGACGGUACCUAAUCAGAAAGCCACGGCUAACUACGUG